RNAcentral lists this ribosomal RNA (497 nucleotides) under uncultured bacterium. RNAcentral describes it as "partial 16S ribosomal RNA". It matches the Rfam family "Bacterial small subunit ribosomal RNA", at positions 28 to 507 of the family's 1533-position model. The record is from RNAcentral.
GAUGAACGCUGGCGGCGUGCCUAAUACAUGCAAGUCGAGCGAACGGACGAGAAGCUUGCUUCUCUGAUGUUAGCGGCGGACGGGUGAGUAACACGUGGAUAACCUACCUAUAAGACUGGGAUAACUUCGGGAAACCGGAGCUAAUACCGGAUGAUAUUUUGAACCGCAUGGUUCAAAAGUGAAAGACGGUCUUGCUGUCACUUAUAGAUGGAUCCGCGCUGCAUUAGCUAGUUGGUAUGGUAACGGCUUACCAAGGCAACGAUGCAUAGCCGACCUGAGAGGGUGAUCGGCCACACUGGAACUGAGACACGGUCCAGACUCCUACGGGAGGCAGCAGUAGGGAAUCUUCCGCAAUGGGCGAAAGCCUGACGGAGCAACGCCGCGUGAGUGAUGAAGGUCUUCGGAUCGUAAAGCUCUGUUAUUAGGGAAGAAAAUAUGUGUAAGUAACUGGGCACAUCUUGACGGUACCGAAUCAGAAAGCCACGGCUAACUACGUG